Molecule: small RNA, 94 nt
Organism: Treponema denticola ATCC 35405
Lineage: Bacteria; Pseudomonadati; Spirochaetota; Spirochaetia; Treponematales; Treponemataceae
Rfam family: TD-2 RNA
About the family: non coding RNA found in Treponema denticola
Source: Rfam
ACCGCUAUGGAUGGCGGUGGUUCCUGCUUCGAGAGUUUUGCACAGCAAAACUCUUAGAUUAAAAAUGUACAAGGAGGUACAUUUUUAAUCAAUC